This is a long non-coding RNA of Pipistrellus kuhlii (Kuhl's pipistrelle), 311 nucleotides long. RefSeq lists it as uncharacterized. Lineage: Eukaryota; Metazoa; Chordata; Mammalia; Chiroptera; Vespertilionidae. The transcript is spliced from 2 exons. The record is from RefSeq and is a predicted model, not a curated record.
GGGGCAGGCGGUGACCAGAAGGCGGACCGGGGAGGCGGUUGGCCCGGGCGGGGCCUGCACUGCUGGGCCACCCCCGCAGCUCCAGCCCCCGACGGGAGGAGCCUCAGGCAGGCGGCCGAGUUGUGGGGGGACAAGACAGAAUUCAGAACCUGGCCAGUGAAGGAUGUCCUCAACAUAUGCUUCUUGAUGGUCCCCAAAAGCAAGUGGACACGAUCCAUCUUGUCUAUUUCACCUGUGAAAACCUGAACAAAUUUUCUUUAGACUAAACACAAAAUACAAAACCCAAAAUGAAUAAACUUAUUUCAAGACCU